This is a long non-coding RNA of Nymphaea colorata (pocket water lily), 3027 nucleotides long. RefSeq lists it as uncharacterized. The transcript has 2 exons. Lineage: Eukaryota; Viridiplantae; Streptophyta; Magnoliopsida; Nymphaeales; Nymphaeaceae. The record is from RefSeq and is a predicted model, not a curated record.
ACAGACAUUUUUCCAUGUAAAUUGGGCAUCAAGAAGCCAUGAAAGCAGAUGUUCUUUCCAUUGGCUUUCUCGUUAGCAAAUUCACUGUCUGACCUAAGUCUUCAGACCUUAAUAUUAACCUGAAAUUGGUUCUCAGAGGGAGAGAGUUAGCCGAUGGGAAGAUCUGUCACCUGUCCUUUGCCAACCUCAUUACGUCGGGCGUCGCUCGGUCGCUGCUCUCCACCUCUCCAGCGAACCGAUAUUCGCCACCACCAUCCUUUCACAUUUCAUUCCUACCACCACCACCCUCUCUUCCACACCACCAUUAUCCCUGGCUCCUCUCUCCGCCGUGCCGUCCGCCAGUUUCUUCUCUGUUUCUCCGCACGUUUGCUUAAUCAACGCCGCCUGGUUGCAAAAGAUUUUACGUUCAUAGUCCUGUUUCUUGCUUGUUCCAAUUCACUUGGGCUUAUGUAAGGCCAACAAAUUACAUGCAACCAUCAACACGUCUGGGCUUCCCUGACGUCUUCGUAUGCAGUUCAGCUUGUGAGUUGUACGAGUUAGUGCGCAGAAAUUGAAAAAAGGAACUCUGGAGCGGGACAUUGUUAGACUUGGUUGGAACACUAUGAUUCGUUAGUACAUUGACAAUGGGACUAUUGGUUGAUGCAAGAAGCCUUCUUCAUGCAAAUGCCGGACAGAAAUAUUGAUUCAUGGGAUUGUUUAAUCAGCAGUUACGUGAAAUGUAUAUAGCUGGGACUUGCCAGACAGCUGUUCGAUGGAAUGCCUCGGAGAAAUGAAACUUCUUGGCUGCGUAUGACUGCAGGAUAUUCUCGCGGUGGAAAGCCUAAGGAAGCAUUGAUGCUAUUUUUGCUUGUUCUCAACUCGGUUCCUUGAAUCAGAGCUGUGGAUUCACGCUUACAUCCGAGGGAACAUCGGACUCGGUUGUCAGUUCAGCUCUGGUUGAUACAUACUGGAGGUGUGAUCCAUUAAGCAGGCAACGCAAGUUUUUGUGACGCUUCAGACAAAGACCUGUAUGCAUAUGUAGCAUCCACUCGUGCCCAGCUAUGCGUGGGUUUGGAGGUCACAGUAUGGAUGUUUAUGCAGAUGGAAGAGAAUGGCAUUGCUCCAGAUAAGGUCCCCUACAUUGCAGUCUUCCAUGGCUGUGCUUAUUCAGGGUUAAUCGAAAAAGCUUUAAAAUUGUUCUAUUCUAUGACCAACAUGCACAAUAUGGUGCCAGAUUGAGUACCAUGCAUGCAUGGUCGAUAUUCUUGGUCCAGCAGGAAACAUAGAAGAAGCCGACAAGCUUAUACUGUCCUUGCCCCCUAGAGCCUGAUCCCGCUAUAAGAGGUGCUCUUCUUAGUGCAUGUCGUACUCUUGGAAAUGCCGAAAUGGGAGAGAAAAUUGUCACAUGAUGAGAGCUCUGAUCGUAGCCUGAUUGAGGUGAAUGCAAUUUGUCUGUGAGUUCAUAUCUGGCGAUUCAAAUGGAGCACAUAUAUGAAAUGUGCGAAGAAAUUUCUGGACAAAUAAAGCUUGCUGGUUGUGUGGCUGAUACAAAAGGGCCAGUCUUUGAUUUGGAGGAGGAAGAGAAAGAGGUUAUUGUCGAGCAUCACAGUGAGAAGUUGGCUACUGCUUUUGGGUUCACCGGCACUGCUCCUAUAACUCUACAAUACGUAUGAUGAACAUCAGGGUAUGCUAUGAUUAACAUCUAUGAUAGCAAAAUUUCAAUUAGAGAUCGGAUUCGUUUCCACCAUUUCUUUGAAGGGGGAUAUAUUCAUGCGUGGAUGAUUCACCAUUUCUUUGAAGGGGAAUGUAUUCAUGCGUGGAUGCUUGGUAAGUUCAGUGAACAUCAUCGGAGAAGCUUUCUUGGAUAGCUUUCCUGUUCUGCAGAGGUUUGAAGAAGAAAAGCUUUCGACCCAGUGACACCAAGAGGCAGCUGAAAUCCUGAGAUUUUUCCCUUCACCUGGCCGCAAGAUGACUUAGCCCGCGCCAAUUCCUCUUGCCGUACAGCCCUUUGUACUUAUCCAAAUUUCGAGGUUUAAUAGCCACUCGGUAAACCGUAGCCUAAUGAGGUAGCUUUCUUGUUAAAGAUUUUCCCAUAAUGAAGUCGAGGUGGACCUGCUGGUGCUGUGCCUGCGUUAACAUGCCAUAAAUGUUCAACAGGGAGGUAAGUGCUUCUUGAGAAUGUGGAAUUUGUUUGUCAUUAUUGUUAUGCCCGCCUUGGGGAUGACGUAUCCUCAUGCAUGACCCAACAGCCAGCAAAUAGUUGGAUAUAAGAUUUCUUGCCCAUAUAUAAUUCAGACAAGCUAGUUGACUUAUGAAUUCUCCAGGUGAAUUGCUUUUCGAACACCAGAUUUUGUGAAAGGCUCUCUUCCACCUCCCAAUUAAUGAUCAGUUUAUCGUGACAAUUCUGUUACAAUCACUUCUUUGGGUCUUCCUUAAAGCUAGGAAAAAGGUAUAUAUGGCAAAAUCAGAUAACCAGUUAUUCAUAUGGGGCUUGGGCUCAAGAAACUUCAGUUUGUUUUUGUUGGUAUUGGAGGCUUAAAUGGACUUUACAGAUUUGGGAUUCCUGCAAUCUGAAGGUCGAGGUAGAUGAUGUAGCAUUGUCAAUAACGCCAAUUCUAGCUCCUAAUAAAGGCACUAAUGCUGCACACAAGGUCCUCCAGCGUUGGUACUUAUUAUAGAUUUGGUGUAGCUUGGUGAUUGCAUUAGCAUGGUACUUAUGAAUGAUGUACUUGAAGCAAAAGGCUAAAAUUUAGUCGUUGUAAAAAUCAACAUGAGCGAGUAUGGACCCAAAUCUAUAUGCGAGUAGUUCAUCAAAUUUGUCAGCUCCAACCUUGGGAUCAUUACUCUUACGACAAGUAAAUAUGCAGCCUUCGUCUGAAAGGAACGGUGCUCUUCAGCAAAUAACCCUUGAUUGAACAAGAAGAUUCGCCCUACAGCCAAUCCAUCUAGCUUCAUAUCAUCACUAGAUGAUUCAAGCGUGCGUCUCCUUUUCUGUAUAAAUGUGAAUCUAUCGAUGAGGCUAUUUGCUCUGGGAAUUCCUCUUUCUUA